RNAcentral lists this ribosomal RNA (501 nucleotides) under uncultured bacterium. Its description in RNAcentral is "partial 16S ribosomal RNA". It matches the Rfam family "Bacterial small subunit ribosomal RNA", at positions 30 to 523 of the family's 1533-position model. The record is from RNAcentral.
AUUGAACGCUGGCGGCAGGCUUAACACAUGCAAGUCGAGCGGGGAAAGGUAGCUUGCUACCUGACCUAGCGGCGGACGGGUGAGUAAUGCUUAGGAAUCUGCCUAUUAGUGGGGGACAACAUUCCGAAAGGAAUGCUAAUACCGCAUACGCCCUACGGGGGAAAGAAGGGGAUCUUCGGACCUUGCGCUAAUAGAUGAGCCUAAGGCAGAUUAGCUAGGUGGUGGGGUAAAGGCCUACCAAGGCGACGAUCUGUAGCGGGUCUGAGAGGAUGAUCCGCCACACUGGGACUGAGACACGGCCCAGACUCCUACGGGAGGCAGCAGUGGGGAAUAUUGGACAAUGGGCGAAAGCCUGAUCCAGCCAUGCCGCGUGUGUGAAGAAGGCCUUUUGGUUGUAAAGCACUUUGAGCGAGGAGGAGGCUACUUGGAUUAAUACUCUAGGAUAGUGGACGUUACUCGCAGAAUAAGCACCGGCUAACUCUGUGCCAGCCGCCGCAGUAA